This is a long non-coding RNA of Myotis brandtii (Brandt's bat), 1488 nucleotides long. RefSeq lists it as uncharacterized. The transcript is spliced from 2 exons. NCBI's taxonomy places the organism in Eukaryota, Metazoa, Chordata, Mammalia, Chiroptera, Vespertilionidae. The record is from RefSeq and is a predicted model, not a curated record.
CACCUCAUAGACACGGACAACAGUGUGGUGGUGACCAGAGGGAAGAGUGCAAAACCAUAGCCUCGGAUAACACCAUGGGACCCCCAGGAAGUGCCCCUGGUGACGCUGGAGUGAGCCCAAGGGAAACGUUACAACGGAAACUGCGUGGUGUGUGCUGAUGGAUGGAGGGGCGGCGGUGGCAGCGGUUGGAUGGUUCAAGGCAAAGUUCAAGGUGAAGGGAUCCCAUGGGAAAGAAAAGGAAAGGAAGGACGCGAGGGGUCGCGAGCGGCACGGGGACCUCGCACUUCCUGCCGGACACCUUCUGCGUCUUGCAUCGGGAGCGCCGUGUUCAUGUGGGUGCAGGAUCUAUUGCAAUAAAAAGACGCACGCCUAUCGAGUCAAGGAUGAUUCCAGAAGAAAGCGAAGGCGUGAGAGGAUCACGGGAAGCUGAGGGGAGGGGAGGAUCUGAAGCUGGGAGAGGUGAUGUCAGCCGAGGACGAUGGGAUCGUUUGGAAGGAGUUUGCUUAAGAAAAAAUGAAAUGUCAGAGCGACGGUGGCAGCGUCGAAGGGCUGAGUGGCAGCGGGCAGUUUGGGGGACCAGGAAGAGAGUGACGCAGGAGAAAGGACAGCGGCUGGAACAGGCGUGCAAGCAGGGGGUGCACCCCACACGGAAGGAGGGAGGAGGAAGGAAGAGAAGGGAGCACCAGGAUGGAAGGCACGAAGGCGUGGCUGCCUCCGCUGUGUUGUGCGAAGUUGGGCUGAUGAGCGGGCUGCCCCGGUCACGGAGCUGAAGGGAAGACAGACAGGCACCAGCUUGGGCUGGACGACAGAGACCUGGCCGAGGAGCCCCGUUGUCUGGAUUGAUUCCAUCGGUGAGUUGUCUCAGGAGGAAGAGAGGACCCGGCCGGAGGGACUGCCCUGUGAAGCGCUUUGGAGGUGGACACAGCCCCUGGCCGCCGUCCCCGUGGGAAGCAUCAGCGUGUCCGGGUCAGCCCGCCGACGGUGAGGACGUGGAAAGAGCGUUGGGCGCAGGACUCGACGGGAAAGAUCGCCGAGCGAAGGAAGGGACCCCCGCCGGCGAGAGGUACCACCUUGGAGGCUGCGAGGGUGAGGCCGUCAGAGUCGCCGUGGUCGCGAGAGAAAGGGCCCCACAAGCCAUCGGGCCGGAGCGUGUGCACUCCUGUGGAGAAGGGCCGGUGCCGUGCACAUCACUUCUCAGGACUUCAGGAGCCAAUCUCAGACAUCAUGAACAAGAGCGGGGCUCGCGCAGGCGGGCGGGCUCGGGGACAUGGCAGAGCGAGACACACCGCCCCAGGAGUGCACAGGGGACGGACGGACGGACGGACGGCGUGAUGGAAACGAGAGCCUCGGGACGGCCGAGGAGGAGGGAAGAGGGACGCAGAGUCGUCAGCCUGGCGGAGGGUCCGGUUCGUGGAGACUGACUGGACUUGGUUUGGAACGUGGGCGCCGGAGCGAAAGCCAGCGCUGGGAGAGCCGUGGGCACCGGCC